GUGGUAGCCAUGGCCAGAGUGCCUCACCCAGCCAGGGCAGGACAAAGGGAUAGCACAGUGGAGGUGGCUUUAAAUCAGGACCUGAAGAAGAGAAAUGAAAGACUGGGGAGUACUGCAGAGAAAACAGAACAUUGUUUUCUUUGAGACUUCAUUAUCAUCAAGACAUCAAGGAAAGCACCUGCAGUCCCUAAGCAGCCUUCACCUAGCCAAGGACACCCCACCCCCACCAGGGGAAGGAAGGCUGACUGACUGCUGCCCCUCAUCAUUGCUGCCUGCAUUGUGGGAGAACACAGGCUGGAUGAGUGGACCCUUUGAAGACACCACACUAUGCAAACCCUACCUGUGCAGACCAACAGCAGCAUGGGACUGCUUCUAAAUGCAGGGUCACACCCCACUGAAACCUGCAUUUCAAUGAGAUCCAAAUUGCGUGUGCUCCUUGGGGUUUGAAAGCUGUGGGCUAGAGCAUGUGUAUGCCCCCACUCCAACUGGAGGAAAAACCAAAUUCCCUACAGCUCUCAAUCAUAAGCCUGACCCCAUCGCAGUAAACAAUGCUGAUGGUGGAGAUGCCAGGCUGCCAGAGAUUAAGGGAAAUGCCACUGUUUUCCUCAGCAUGUAAGAAGCAAAGCUGAUCAGCCUGAUUCCCGUAGAUGCUGUGGAUUCCCUGGAAGCACACAGGAGGUGAGCUGCUCCCAGUGCACAAGAGGAGGCUUCCAGACCGCCAUACCACCCCCGUCAUUACACAAGAGGUGAGCCACUCCCAGCGCACAAGAGGAGGCUUCCUGGCCACCAUACCACCCCCGCCAGCACACAGGAGGUGAACCGGGAGGGCGCCAACAGCAAUCGCCCUACCCAGUCGAAAUGAGAACACACAUAAAUAAGUCUCAAAAUCAGACUUUCAGAUCAACUACAGCAACCCCAAAGGGAAAUGAGAUGGAACACUCUGAUACUCAACCACCUGGAUUCCCUGAACUGGCAACAAAAGAGGAUCUGGAAAAAAAUGAUAUCAGAAAUAAUUUCGCAGGUAACAGCAGAGAUUGUGCUCAUAGUGAAAGACAAUAAAUCUAAAGAGGAACUCAGGAACAUGAUGGAAUCCCAACAUAGGAAACAAAUGGAAUUAAUAAAACAGAUGCAAACAGAUUGCCAGGAGAUUAAAAACUCCACUGAGAGUCUACAC
Molecule: long non-coding RNA, 1174 nt
Organism: Heterocephalus glaber (naked mole-rat)
Lineage: Eukaryota; Metazoa; Chordata; Mammalia; Rodentia; Bathyergidae
Source: Ensembl